RNAcentral lists this ribosomal RNA (406 nucleotides) under uncultured bacterium. RNAcentral describes it as "partial 16S ribosomal RNA". It matches the Rfam family "Bacterial small subunit ribosomal RNA", at positions 29 to 526 of the family's 1533-position model. The record is from RNAcentral.
AUUGAACGCUGGCGGCAGGCCUAACACAUGCAAGUCGAACGAGUGGCGGACGGGUGAGUAAUGUCUGGGAAACUGCCCGAUGGAGGGGGAUAACUACUGGCAACGGUAGCUAAUACCGCAUACCAUCGGAUGUGCCCAGAUGGGAUUGGCUAGUAGGUGGGGUAACGGGUCACCUAGGCGACGAUCCCUAGCUGGUCGGAGAGGAGGACCAGCCAAACUGGAACUUAGACACGGUCCAGAAGCCUAGGGGAGGCAGCAGGGGGGAAUAUUGCACAAUGGGCGCAAGCCUGAUGCAGCCAUGACGCGUGUAUGAAGAAGGCCUUCGGGUUGUAAAGUACUUUCAGCGGGGAGGCGUUACCCGCAGAAGAAGCACCGGCUAACUCCGUGCCAGCAGCCGCGGUAAUAC